AGUAUGGAACAAAGGCUAUGAACGCCACGUCCUGUGGCAAUUCCUUUGUGCCCUACCUCCUGUAG
This 65-nucleotide small RNA is filed under the name Bacillus massilioanorexius. RNAcentral's name for it is "Bacillaceae-1 RNA". It matches the Rfam family "Bacillaceae-1 RNA". Lineage: Bacteria; Bacillati; Bacillota; Bacilli; Caryophanales; Bacillaceae. The record is from RNAcentral.